This 82-nucleotide microRNA precursor is filed under the name Bombyx mori (domestic silkworm). Its description in RNAcentral is "mir-2807 microRNA precursor family". It matches the Rfam family "mir-2807 microRNA precursor family". Lineage: Eukaryota; Metazoa; Arthropoda; Insecta; Lepidoptera; Bombycidae. The record is from Rfam by way of RNAcentral.
UUAACAAAUUUGUAUGCCGUUGGAAAGUUUGCCUAUGUUUGCCGCCAGGGGCGCUGUUCCAACUGAAUACAAAAUUGAGUUA